CCCGUGGGGUAGAACGCAU
This 19-nucleotide microRNA is filed under the name anatid alphaherpesvirus 1. Its description in RNAcentral is "dev-miR-D13-5p". Its record names the gene dev-miR-D13-5p. The record is from miRBase by way of RNAcentral. Lineage: Duplodnaviria; Heunggongvirae; Peploviricota; Herviviricetes; Herpesvirales; Orthoherpesviridae.